UNGACUUUGCCCAACUUUCAGGUCCCAUGCC
RNAcentral lists this non-coding RNA (31 nucleotides) under Mus musculus (house mouse). The record is from RNAcentral. Lineage: Eukaryota; Metazoa; Chordata; Mammalia; Rodentia; Muridae.